AAUUCGCCCUUAGAGUUUGAUCCUGGCUCAGAACGAACGCUGGCGGCAGGCUUAACACAUGCAAGUCGAGCGCCCCGCAAGGGGAGCGGCAGACGGGUGAGUAACGCGUGGGAAUCUACCCAUCUCUACGGAACAACUCCGGGAAACUGGAGCUAAUACCGUAUACGUCCUUAUGGAGAAAGAUUUAUCGGAGAUGGAUGAGCCCGCGUUGGAUUAGCUAGUUGGUGGGGUAAUGGCCUACCAAGGCGACGAUCCAUAGCUGGUCUGAGAGGAUGAUCAGCCACACUGGGACUGAGACACGGCCCAGACUCCUACGGGAGGCAGCAGUGGGGAAUAUUGGACAAUGGGCGCAAGCCUGAUCCAGCCAUGCCGCGUGAGUGAUGAAGGCUCUAGGGUUGUAAAGCUCUUUCAACGGUGAAGAUAAUGACGGUAAC
RNAcentral lists this ribosomal RNA (434 nucleotides) under uncultured bacterium. RNAcentral's name for it is "bacterial SSU rRNA". It matches the Rfam family "Bacterial small subunit ribosomal RNA", at positions 1 to 479 of the family's 1533-position model. The record is from RNAcentral.